AUUGAACGCUGGCGGAAUGCUUUACACACGCAAGUCGAACGGCAGCACGGGGCAACCUGGUGGCGAGUGGCGAACGGGUGAGUAAUGCAUCGGAACGUGCCAUUGAGUGGGGGGAUAACGUAGCGAAAGUUGCGCUAAUACCGCAUAUUCUGUGAGCAGGAAAGCAGGGGACCGCAAGGCCUUGCGCUCUUUGAGCGGCCGAUGUCAGAUUAGCUAGUUGGUGAGGUAACGGCUUACCAAGGCGACGAUCUGUAGCGGGUCUGAGAGGAUGAUCCGCCACACUGGAACUGAGACACGGUCCAGACUCCUACGGGAGGCAGCAGUGGGGAAUUUUGGACAAUGGGCGCAAGCCUGAUCCAGCCAUGCCGCGUGAGUGAAGAAGGCCU
Molecule: ribosomal RNA, 386 nt
Filed under: uncultured bacterium
Lineage: Bacteria
Description: bacterial SSU rRNA
Rfam family: Bacterial small subunit ribosomal RNA
Source: RNAcentral